RNAcentral lists this ribosomal RNA (411 nucleotides) under uncultured bacterium. RNAcentral's name for it is "bacterial SSU rRNA". It matches the Rfam family "Bacterial small subunit ribosomal RNA", at positions 30 to 442 of the family's 1533-position model. The record is from RNAcentral.
AUUGAACGCUGGCGGCAUGCCUUACACAUGCAAGUCGAACGGCAGCACGGGAGCAAUCCUGGUGGCGAGUGGCGAACGGGUGAGUAAUAUAUCGGAACGUGCCCAGUCGUGGGGAUAACGUAGCGAAAGCUACGCUAAUACCGCAUACGAUCUAUGGAUGAAAGCGGGGGAUCGCAAGACCUCGCGCGAUUGGAGCGGCCGAUAUCAGAUUAGGUAGUUGGUGAGGUAAAGGCUCACCAAGCCGACGAUCUGUAGCUGGUCUGAGAGGACGACCAGCCACACUGGGACUGAGACACGGCCCAGACUCCUACGGAGGCAGCAGUGGGGAAUUUUGGGACAAUGGGCGCAAGCCUGAUCCAGCAAUGCCGCGUGCAGGAUGAAGGCCCUCGGGUUGUAAACUGCUUUGUACGG